AUGAAAUAAAAAGUUGGAAGUAUAUAAACUACAACUAGGUUUUAAAGAAAUAUUGCCGAACAUACAUGUGCACGUCUCAAAGUGCAGCACAUACACGCGGACAUACGUGUGGACGUCUCAAAGUCCAGCACAUACACGGGAUGUAAGCGUUACAUGUCCUAAUAGGAAGGAAAGAAGGGAGAGAAAAAAAGCACGUACUACAUGCUAUAAGCAAUUAAAAAAGCAAUUAAUGUUGAAAAUUCCCAAAAAGAAAUAUAGGACAAGGUCACAAUCAGAUUUCCAGACAUCUCGGCCACCUCAAACCCAGCCACCUCAACCCAUAUAAGCAAGUACAACCAGUCGCACAAUGACACACCAAUUAAUUUGAAGUCGACAACCACCACGAGGUGAACAUAUUGAAGUCGACAGAGCUACCAUGAAAAUCCAUGCCCAGCCGCUUCACUCGACGUCCAACGAAGUCAUGCCAAAGCACGCCCGACGCCCGACAAAGCCACGCCCAAUUGCUCCAGUCAACGUUGGAAGAACUCACUCCAAAGCACUUCUCGCCUGAAUCAUCAGAUUUGGUGAUUGUUAUUUAGCAAGCUUACUUUUUCUGCCUAGAAUCUUCAUAAAUCCUGUAUUAGUUACAUAUUGUUUUCUAUUAAUUUUGAGGACAUAACACUAUCACAUACAAGAAGUUCAGCGACUUAACUAUGAGGGGACAUAACUAGAACAUUCAAGUGAACGCAAUGAGUGUGGGAUUCAGUCAAUCCUACGACCCAUGAGCUAACUAGCCUAGAUAUGAUACUGAUGGAUGAGCAGGUCUGUUUCUAUAUAUUUAAUUGCAGUUUUUUCAAGUUAAGAUGCAGUUACUAACCAUAUUUGAUUGUUUUGACAGGGUGAAACAAUCCAUGUUACUAUUUGGAAGAAUCUAAUAGACAUGUUUAGAUCAAAGAUCAAUAAGAAAUCUAUUUAUGCAUUCAACAAUGUUGAGUUGGAAUUACAAAAUAUAGGCCAGUGAGAAAAUGAAAUUAAAAUAUUUUUUGCAUACAAUACACAGGUAAAAGAUAAAAGGAUCUUUGAAAGUUUUUCCGAAUUAUUGCCGCGAGUUUGCUACCAUGGACACACUACAAGAUAGAACAGAAAAAGAUACACAAUGCUCAGGUAUGUUGAUAGUUGUAAUUACGACUUCCAUAUAAUUGAUAUAUCUAAUUGUUAUAUCAAUAAUCUCCAAAUAUACAUGUCAUUGGACAACUAACAAAAUGAAGCCCAUGGAGAGAAGAAUAACUUGCUUUAUACAUCUACAUCUAACUUGCUGAACUCACUAGAUGGGAAAUCAUAAGAAGCACCAAAGAUUACUAAAAAAUUAUGUGGAAAAAACUUAUAUUUUGAUUCAAUUUCAAUGAUAUAAUCUGACCUGUCGCAAACAAAACUAUGCAGUAAAAAGAACAUUUUUGCCUGAUGAUGGCCUUGAGAUGCUCUACUUGAACGAUAAAGCCGAGGGGGUAAAGGUGCAUUAACCUUUUUUGAAAAAUAUGAAGUACCAUCUCUAGAAUUCCUUAACUAACUCAUCUUACAUAUGUUGCACAGGAAUUGAUGGAUCAUGAGGUGGACACCAUGUUAAUGAAGAAGCAGAACAUGCCAGAUAAAGAGGUGAUUGGUUUUUUAACUAUACACACUUCAGAGAUGUGUCUAAUUUUUAAAAAUUAUAAGUAUGCAGUCACAGAAUAAUAAAGUUUCACCUGGCAAACUGUCAUGUGAACUAAUGCGUGUGAAAGAGAAACCACAUUGACAGCAAUUGGAGUACAUUAAACAAAGAUGGGCGUCAAGACAAAAUAUCAGCAGCAGCAGCAGCACAUGAGCCCCACAGUGGCAUAAAAGGAGACUUGAGAUCUGUUGUGAUAUCAGAUGACCAGAGGAUGAAUGAACUGAGACGAAUUCGCCAGAACAAUAGGAAAAAGGUGUCUGCCGGAACAAGAGAUGUGUUAAAGCAAAAGUGAAAAAUACAAUGCUUGAAGAUGAAGAUUAAGUAAAUAGUACGACAAACUAUUUGUAUCGACCAAGGUAAGUAAGAGUACCUGACAUCAACCAGAAUAAGGAUACUUAUUAGAUUAAGCGUGUGAAUGUUAAAAAUAUUCUUAGUCCAAACAGAUUGAAAACGUUGUUCAUGUAGUUUCCUUUAUGUACAUGCUAUUUUAUCCGAAUUUGUACGAGCCCAACACAAUAUACGAGAACAUACUACAAGACCAAAGUUUGAGACAUUAGGAUUCACUUCACAAUUUGAAGAAACUAUACUUUGGCAAAUCUAUUUGACGCCACCACAAUAGACAGGAACAUACCUUGCUUCAGUAACUUAAUAGCAGAACCAGAUAUAAGCAAAUCAACGGCCUCUCUGUUUUUUGCAUACCGCUAGCUUUGCUCAGUG
Molecule: long non-coding RNA, 2404 nt
Filed under: Triticum aestivum (bread wheat)
Lineage: Eukaryota; Viridiplantae; Streptophyta; Magnoliopsida; Poales; Poaceae
Description: long non-coding RNA (TAES_LNC027710)
Source: RNAcentral